UGCCGAUGAUGAAAGAACCUGAUUGAAUUGACGAACCGUACGACAGGUCCAUGGAUCUCUUGGUUUUCUUCACUUUGUUUGAGGCAUAUCUGAAGAAAUGCAGCAUAGGAAAUCCAGAAGUCACAAAUAAUAAUCUGAUUAUA
Molecule: small nucleolar RNA, 143 nt
Filed under: Oryza sativa (Asian cultivated rice)
Lineage: Eukaryota; Viridiplantae; Streptophyta; Magnoliopsida; Poales; Poaceae
Description: Z167b small nucleolar RNA
Source: RNAcentral